UAUUCUGCCCCACGGGGAAGGAUGAGAAGCUUCGACUAAGGUUCGACUCGAGCGAAGCGAGAGAACGUUGCCACAGGCAAUGGCCCGAAGGCGAGGCGCUUUAGCGCCGAGUAAUCCUUACCCCACCACUG
RNAcentral lists this small RNA (131 nucleotides) under Klebsiella pneumoniae. RNAcentral describes it as "RtT sRNA". It matches the Rfam family "RtT RNA". From Rfam's summary of the family: This family represents a bacterial cis-regulatory element known as RtT RNA. Lineage: Bacteria; Pseudomonadati; Pseudomonadota; Gammaproteobacteria; Enterobacterales; Enterobacteriaceae. The record is from RNAcentral.